Molecule: ribosomal RNA, 253 nt
Filed under: uncultured bacterium
Lineage: Bacteria
Description: partial 16S ribosomal RNA
Rfam family: Bacterial small subunit ribosomal RNA
Source: RNAcentral
UACGGAGGGGGCUAGCGUUGUUCGGAAUUACUGGGCGUAAAGCGCACGUAGGCGGCGAUUUAAGUCAGAGGUGAAAGCCUGGAGCUCAACUCCAGAACUGCCUUUGAGACUGGAUUGCUAGAAUCUUGGAGAGGCGGGUGGAAUUCCGAGUGUAGAGGUGAAAUUCGUAGAUAUUCGGAAGAACACCAGUGGCGAAGGCGGCCCGCUGGACAAGUAUUGACGCUGAGGUGCGAAAGCGUGGGGAGCAAACAGG